RNAcentral lists this long non-coding RNA (27056 nucleotides) under Nicotiana tabacum (common tobacco). RNAcentral's name for it is "long non-coding RNA (NTAB_LNC007251)". The record is from RNAcentral. Lineage: Eukaryota; Viridiplantae; Streptophyta; Magnoliopsida; Solanales; Solanaceae.
CAACACCGCCUACCAUAUAAGGCCUCAUAAGGAGCCAUCUGAAUACUCGAUUGGUAACUGUUGUUGUAGGAAAACUCUAUAAGUGGUAGAAACUGAUCCUAAGAACCCCCGAAAUCCAUAACGCAAGCCCGUAGCAUAUACUCCAAUAUCUGAAUGGUGCACUCGGACUGUUCGUCCGUCUGAGGGUGGAAUGUUGUACUCAACUCAACCCGUAUGCCAAACUCUCAUUGCACUGCUUUCCAAAACUAUGAUUUAAACUGUGUGCCGUGAUCAGAAAUAAUGGACACCGGCACAUCGUGAAGACGAACAAUCUCGUAGAUAUAGAUCUUAGCCAACGACUCAGAAUAAUAGGUAGUCACCACUGGAAUAAAAUGCGGUCCACAAUCACCCAAAUAACAUCAAAUUUCUUCAAAGUUCGUGGGAGGUCAACAACAAAGUCCAUGGUAAUACGUUCCCAUUUCCACUCAGGAAUCUCAUGCCUCUAAAGCAAAACGCCCGGCCUCUGAUGCUCGUACUUCACCUGCUGACAUGUAAAGCAUCGAGCAACAUACCCCACUAUAUCCUUCUUCAUUCCUCUCCACCAAUAGUGAUGCCUCAAAUCCUGAUACAUCUUCGUGGCACCUGGAUGAAUGGAAUACCGCAAAAUAUAGGCCUCCUCAAGCAUUAAAUCACGUAACCCAUCCACAUUGGGCACACAAAUCUGACCCUACAUCCGCAACACCCCAUCAUCUCCAAUAGAAACCUCCUUGGAAUCACUAUAUUGUACUAUUUCCUUAAGGACAAGCAAAUAGAGGUCAUCAUACGGACGCUCUCUGAUGCGAUCAUUUAAAGAAGACCGAGAAACCAUGCAAGCUAGAACUCGUCUAGGCUAUGAAACAUCUAACCUCGUGAACUGAUUGGCCAAGGCCUGAACAUCUAAUGCAAGCGGUCUCUCACCAACAAUAAUAUAUGCAAGGCUACCCAUACUCACCACCUUUCUACUCAAGGCAUCGGCCACCAUAUUGGCCUUCCCGGGAUGAUACAAAAUUGUAAUAUCAUAGUUUUUAACAGCUCCAACCAUCUUCGCUGUCACAAAUUUAGAUUCUUUAGCUUGAAAACGUGAUGUAGACUCCGAUGAUCUGUAAACACCUCACAAGACACACCGUAGAGAUAAUGCCUCCAAAUCAUCAAUGCAUGAACAAUGGCUGGCAACUCUAAAUCAUGAACGGGGCAUUUCUUAUCAUGGGGCUUCAACUGGCGUGAAGCAUAAGCAAUCACCCUACCCUCUUGCUUCAAGACACACCCAAUACAAUUUUGAGAAGCAUCACAAUACAUUGUAUAUGAACCCGAUGCUGAAGGUAAAACUAGAACCAGAGAUGUGGUCAAGGCAGUCUUGAGCUUCUGAAAGCUCUCCUAACAUUCAUCAGACCACUUGAAUAGGGCACCUUUCUGGGCUAAUCUAGUUAAGGGUGCAGCAAUGGAUGGGAAACCCUCCACGAAACGGCGAAAAUAUCUGGCCAAGCCAAGAAAACUCUGAAUCUCAGUAGCUAAAGACGGUCUGGGCAAACUCUGAACUACUUCAAUCUUCUUUGGAUAUACAUUGAUACUCUCACUGGAAACCACGUGCCCCAAGAACACCAAAGAAUCAAGCCAGGACUCAUACUUGGAGAAUUUAGCAUAAAUCUUCUUCUCCCUCAAUGUUUGUAGUACAAUCCUCAGAUGUCGUGCAUGCUCCUCCUUGCUACGUAAGUACACCAGUAUGUCAGCAAUGAAUACUAUAACGAAAGAAUAAAGAUAUGGCUAUAAUACAUUGUUCAUCAGUUUCAUAAAUGUUGUUGGGGCAUUAGUCAUCCCAAAAGACAUCACAAGGAACUCGUAGCGACCACAGCGGGUCGUGAAUGUUGUCUUCAGGAUAUCAGAAUCCGGAAUCUUUAACUGGUGAUACCCAGACCUCAAAUCAAUCUUAGAGAACAUCUAGCUCCCUGAAGCUGGUCAAAUAUAUCAUCAAUGCACGGUAGUGGGUACUUAUUCUUAAUUGGAACUUUACUCAACUGCCUAUAAUCUAUGCACAUUCGCAUAGUACCAUCAUUCUUUUUCACAAAGAAAACCAAUGCACCCCAAGGCGACACAUUAGGCCCAAUGAACCCCUUAUCAAGAAGCUCUUAAAGCUGCUCUUUUAAUUCCUUCAACUCUACCGGUGCCACAUGAUACGGAGGAAUAGAACUGGGCUGAGUGCCUGACACUAAGUCAAUACCAACAUCAAUGUCCCUGUCGGGUGGCAUGCCCGACAGGUCUGCAGGAAACACGUCCAGAAAGUCUCACACUACCGGAACAACAUCAAAUGGUAGGAGUGUCAGCACCAACAUCCCUCACAAAAGCCAAAUAUGCCAAACAUCCCUUCCCAAUAAUCCGCUGGGCCUUCAAAUAUGAGAUUACCCUACUAGGAAUCCCAACUUUCCCAAUCAUCCGUUGGACCUCUCCACUAAAUCUUAGGCAAUCCCGACUUUGCCAACGUCACUGUCUUAGCAUGAUAAUCCAGAACAUCAUGAUACAGGGACAACCAAUACAUGCCUAGAAUUAUGUCAAAAUCACCCAUAAUAAGCAGUAAGAGAUCAAGUCUCAUCUCUAGUCCCCCAAUAGUCACCAUACCCGACCAGUACACAUAGUCCACAAUAAUAGAGUCACCCACCGACAUAGAUACAUGAACAAGCGUAACUAAUGAAUCACGAGCCAUAUCUAAUGAGAAAAAUAUGAUAAUAUAUAUGAAUAAGUAAAACCAGGGUCAAGUAAUAUUGAAGCAUCCAUGUGGUAAACUGAAACAAUACUUGUGAUCAUGACGUCUAAAGCAACAGCAUCUAGCCUAGUGGGAAAAGUAUAGCAUCGAGCCUGACUACGACAUGAUCGACCUCCCCUCUAGGGCGAGCUCAAGCUGCCUGAGUCCCACCCCGAGCUGGCUGAGCGGGUAGUGAAGUAAUUGGUGCGGAAGUAAUAGCCUUUCGCUCUACUGAAUUGAACUACCCAUAAGACGAGGACAAAACCUCAACAUAAGCCCCAACUCUCCGCACUCAAAGCAACCUCGAUCUAAUAACGGCGGCGGGGACUGAAUCGGACCCCGAGUACUAGAAUAACCACAAGAGUAACUGGUACAGAUGAACCCUGAACUGAUGAAGCACAGGAUGAAAUCUGAGCUGGGAGGGAACUAAAAUAUGACUUACUCGGACGAGCACUAUAUGAACCAUGGCUAGCUAAUACACCACGAUGAACCAGAUAAGCCAUUUGAGCGGUCCUAUCAGGACGACCCCUGUUGUGGUAGGACUGUCCUCCAGAUGAGGCACUGCUGAAGCCACCCAAACCAUGAGGCAUCUUUGCCUCCUCUCCUCAUGCUCCUAACUGCGAACCUGCUCUAGGCACCUAGCAAUGUCAACUACCUUGUCAAACCUCGCAACCAACGUAAUCUCCCGAGUCAUGAUGAAAUGUAAUCCAUAGUUGAGGCCAUCAAUGUACCUCCUAAUCCUCUCCCUCUCGGUGAGAACAAACCAUAUUGCGUGACGAGCUAAGAACCUCAUCUCAUACGGGGUCACUAACAUGCUCUCCUGGCUUAGCUACUCAAACUGCCUACGAAACUCCUCCGUGCGAGUCUGUGGAACAAACUACUCUAAGAAGAGAACUGAGAACUGAUGACACGUAAGUGGUGCAGUGCAGGCUGGCCUGAUCAACUCAUAGGCCUCCUGCCAUUCGAAUGCUUCCACCGACAACUGAAAAGUAGUAAAUGAGACUCCACUGCUCUCUAGAAUACCCGCCAUGCAAAGAAUCCGCUGGCACCCGUCUAAGAAAUCCUAAGCAUCCUCUUACUCAGCCCCAGUGAACACUAGACUCCUAAGCCUACAAAAUUCGCUUAGCCUCUUCUGCUCCUCGUCAAUCAUAGGUGGACUAACCUGGGCCUGAGCAGCUGCAACCGACUAGGCUGGUAGUACCCCCUGUGUCUGAAGUCCUUGAGCCAUUUGCUCUAGAGUACGGGCGGAGGGAGUUUGUGCACCUCCCCCAGCCUGAGAAGUGGCUCGUACAGCCGGAACUGAGACUGCCUGAGCCAGACUUGUUCAUACAGUCAAUAUCUAGGCCAAAGCCUUCUAAAGGCCUAGAAUCAUAAUAGGCACAGUUGGUGAUUGAGCUGGUCCCACUAGCUAAACUACAUCUUGUAUUUUCUCCUGAGGUAGAACAACUGGUGGCUCCACAUGUGUUGCUCUAGCUGCAGUACGAGCUGCACCUCGACCUCUACCGCGGCCCCGGCCUAUUGCAACCUUAUCUGGUGGUACUGGUGGACGUCUGCUUGAUCCUUUCGCACAUGUCCUCACCAUUUAUGAGAGAAUAGAAUAAUAGAAGUUUAGUUUACGGAAUCAAUAAAUCCGCAUGACAAGAAUACAAGAAAGUGAGGUUUCCUUAUGUUUCGGUAGCCUGUUGAAGAUAAGUACAGACGUCUCCGUACAGAUCCGUAAGACUCUACUAAACCUUCUCAUGACUCGUGAGGCCUAUGUAACCUAGUGCUCUGAUACCAACUUGUCAUGAUCCCAAAAUCUCAACCUGUCAUGAUGGCACCUAACAUAUUACUAGGCAAGCAAAUAAUCAUAUAACAACUACGCAUUUGAAUUAAAAACAUGAUUUAAUAAGUUCAACAGAGGGAAAUCUCAUAAAUAACUGAUAAAAAAACAACUGCAACUCAAUUACAAAAAUCCCAAAAUCCUGGUGUCACCGAGUACAUGAGCUACUAAGUGCCAACAUAGUCUGAAACUCUAGUACAAAUGUCAGAGAAAAAAUAGAAUAGUACUAAAAUGAAAUGAAAGGAAGGAGAGUCAAGGUUUGCGGGCAUCAUAGCUGCUACCUUGAAGUCUCCGAACAGGUACUAGCACCACUCUAGCAAUUACCGCAUCCAGAUGUACUUGGAUCUGCACACGAAGUGCAGAGUGUAGUAUGAGUAUAACUGAUCCAAUGUACUCAAUAAGUAACAGGACUAACCUUGGGCUGAAAGCAGUGACGAGCUUAGAAUGAUACAGUCCAAAUCAAAAUAAUGACAACACAGAUAUAACAGGACAAUGACAGUAAUAACUCACAGAAACUUUUGUAUUUAGUUCGUUCAUAGUACAGAAAUUUAGGCAUGCUUUCAUGUUCAACAAUUUAAGCCUGCCACUGAUAAAAUAUGCCAAAUACAGCUAGCACGAGGAAUGUUACAUCUUUAUGCCUACAUGUCAAAUAUACAUGUCAAAUGUAAUGUAUCAUAGUGAUAAUCCCAGGUACUCACACUCUCAGAGUACUCAAUCUGUCUAUCUCAUUUCCCACUCAUCACAAACAAUCACUCAGCAUUGUACGGGUGCCUGGCAUCAAUUCCCCUCACCAAAGCACAUGUAUAUAAAUCACUGUGUCUGCGCUCAAUGCUGGUAUGUCAGACUCCGGAGGGGUGGAUCCUUUCCAAGUGCUAAUAUAAAGCCUAUUAGGCCUGUUGCGAUGUACAACCCAAUACACAAUAAUAAGUAAAAUAUGAUAUGCAUUAUGAUAUGCAUUAUGAAUAAACAUGAUUGAGUACAUGAUUGCAGUUUAUGCAAAUAACUCAACAGUAGAAAUAACCUUAGUGGGUCCCAACAGAAUAAGCACAUAGCCUAAACAUUAUCUCUAACAUGAAUCAUAGCUCAAUUACUCUAACAUGUAGGAAUUACACAGAUAAAGCAAGACUAGGCAACUACAUAGUACCAUAGAAUCAACCGAGUAAUAAUUAUCACGGUGCACGCCUACACGCCCGUCACCUAGUAUGUGUGUCACCCCAACACCAACCAUACAACAUAUAUUUCGGGAAUCCAUACUGUCAGUACCAAGUUUAGGAGUGUUACUUACCUCAAAUGGCGCAAUUCAAUGCUCCAACAAACCUUUGCCUUGCGAAUCGGCCUUAGAACAACUUGAAUCUUAUCACAAACAACUUAAUACAAUCAAUACAAACUAUAGGAAUUGAUCCCAUAUGAUAAAGCUAAGUUCUUUAACCAAGAUCAAAAAGUCAGCCCAAAGAGUCGGAACCCGAAAAAAUUUAUAAAAUCCUAACACCCAUUCAAUAAUGAGUCCAACCAUACCAAAAUCAUUCAAAUCUUACUCUCCAAUACCUAGUCUAAAAUCUCUCAAAUUUUACCUAAAAAAACACAAUCUAGGUGAGAAAAUCAAUGGGUAUUCAAUAUUAAUAGACAAAAGUGAUCAAAAGCUGCUUACCUCUUGAUUUGUAGUAAAAUCCCUCACAAAACUCUCCCCUAGCCUAGAUCCACAAGCCAAAUUAUGAAAUAAUACUCUAAUCCUCGUUUUGGAAUUUUAAAUAGUCUACCUAGAUGUUCCCCUUCGCGAUCGCGAAGAACAAAAUUUACUGCCCUCAAGAAAUGGUCUACCCGAACGCAAACUACUAGUCGUGAAUGCAACGCUCAGUAACCCAAUCCUACGCGAUCACAAAAAAGGACACACGAUCGCGAAGAACAAACGCGUGAAAUUCCCAAACAUCCUCUCUUUUUUUGCGGACGCGUCCCAUCACUCGCGUUCGCGAUGCAUAACUAACCAAAGCUCCGCGAUUGCAUCAUCAAACUUGCGAAUGCGUUGAAGAAUAUCCUCUUUCCGGAAUUAACCCUACGCGAUCGUGACUCUUUUCACGCGAUCGCAUAAGGGGAAGCCAGAUACUAGAAAAAUCAGCAAUUCUAUAAGGCCAAACUCAAUCUGAAAUCAAUCUAAAUCACACCUGAGGCCCCCGGGACCCUGUCCAAACAUACCAACACAUCCUAAAAUAUCAUACGAACGUAGUCUAAGCCUCUAAUCACACCAAAUAAUAUCAAAAACACAAAUCGCACCCUAAUUUAAGCAUAUUCAAACUAAUGGAUUUCCAACUUGCAAAAGCAAUGUCGAAACCUAUCAAACCAAUUCCAAUUUACCUCAAACUUUGCACACAAGUCAUAAAUGACACAACGGAUCUACUCUAACUUCUGGAACCAAAAUCUGAGCCCGGUAUCAAAAAAAUCAACUCUCGGUCAAACUUCUCAACUUUCUAACUUUUGACAAUUUAAGCCAAAACGUCCUACGGACCUCCAAAUCAAUAUUCGUAUAUACUCCUAAGUCCAAAAUCACCAUAUGAAGCUAUAUGAACCAUCAGAACUCCAUUUCAGAGUUGUUUACUCAUAAGUCAACAUCUGGUCAACUCUUUCAACUUAAGUUUCCAACCUUGUGACUAAGUGUCCGAAUUCAUUUCGAAACAUUCCCGGAACUAAACCAACCACCCCCGAAAAUUAUAAUUAUAAAUAAACAUAGAAUAACCAAUAAAUGGAGAAAUGGGACUACAAUACUAAAGACAACUGGCCUGGGCGUUACAUGUUUAGUGCUUGAUAUUAUGGUUGUAUAAUAUCUCAACGGACAAGGAUAAAGCUUUAAAAGCACCAAGAAAGCCAUUCACAAAGUCUCAAGCUAAGGAAAAGCAAGACAAGGUUGUUGGGCUUCAAUGGGAGAUCAAGAAGACGCUAAUGGUGGAAGAAGAGCUCAAGAAUUAUGGAGAGGAUUAAGCUAAGUUCUACACUCAUUUCAUGGUCCAAGUCCAAGUCCAAGAGGAGAUCGAUUGGGGUCCAAGCACCAGCCAAGGAGGGCCUAAAUUAGGUGCCUAAAUCAACCCACAAAGGAGCUAACUUGGCGCCUAAGUCAACGCAAGGGGGGCGGCCAAGACAUAGGAGAAGGAGUCAAAGUUCCUUAUUUUUUUCCCUAGUUUAUUCGGACACAUUUGAUGCUUUCUUAGGUAGUUAAGGUUUUGUUUUUCUUUUCCUAAGAUUAUUGGAAUUACUUUCUAAGAUUGACUUGAUUUUUAUUUCUUAGAGUUUUACCUUUUCCUAUGGCAGUUGGACUUGUUGUCCAAAGUAGUUUAGGACUUUAUUUCCUUAUUUUUAGGUAGAAUUUCGUGACCCCUGUCUAUAUAAAUGGGUAUCUACUUUGCUUUUAGACUUAGACUAUUAUUAAUAAAAAAUAUGAUAUUUUUUUUGCACUCUUGUGUGUGGCUACUCUUGGAUAUAUUCUUUAACCUUCAAGACUCAACUUAAGGUGGUAAGAUUAAACUCUUUCGAAAUCUUAGAACACUUCUAGGUAUUCAAGAAAGGUGAUAAGUUUAGUCUUAUUGUUGUUCUUGUUAUUCCCAAGGGUCGGGUUUCACAAUCUAUCUCUUGUUUUGAAUUAUCUAUCAAAGGCAAUUAGUUAUUCGUUUGCUAAUUGUAGUUGUUAGGAUUCAACUUCAAGAAUAGACUUCUUGAAUUCAAGAAAUUCUUUCUUGAAUUCAAUCUAUCUUUAAUUUCUCUCUUCAAUUUCGUUUCCCUAUUUUCUUUUCGCUUCCACACAUUUCUUGAUUUUCUUAUUUUUUCUUUAGUAAUUCUUGAAUCCCUUAUCGUGCUGUUAUCAAGUGCUAUCAGAGUAUAGGCUAAUCAAGAUUUCAAUCUUGAUAAUCUUGGGAGGUUCUUGAGCAAAAAAUACCAAAAAUAAAACAUAAAAACAAAAAAAAAAGAAAAUCAGCCCCAAAAAAAGUGUUAUUGCUCAUUAUUAUUUUUAGAAUUCAAGUAUUAUUUGGUUUCCAGGUCAAGAAAGAAAACAAGAAGAGGGGAUCCUUGUUCUUGAAGAUUAAGGAAACUUCUUUCCUUAUUCUUGUGGGUUUUGGGUUUCCUAAAUUCUUUCCUUUUUUUCUUCCUACUAACCAAUUCAUAUUCUUCCUAGGUUUGGUCAUUCAUUUUUUUUUUGUUUUUCUAACUCCAUAUUCUUAUCAUUAAGGGUUGUGACUAGUAAGAUUUAUUAAUAAAUCUAAAAAUUAAUGACCAAUGAGUGAAAAAAGGCAAAAGAGAUGAGAACGUCAGAGGGAAAAGCCAAAUUGAGAGAUAUAUAUUGUUUUGUUCAAGAUGUCUAGUACAAGUAGUGAUGAUGAACGAAGGGUUCUUCAAGAAGCCUAAAUCAAAGGAAGGAAUGAUUUCACCUUGCAAGCUAUGCACCAACAAUUUGAAAUGUGAAAUUUGCAAUUCCAAGAGAUGAGGGACACCAUUACUGAGCAAAAUAUUAUAAUAGCUGAACUUAGGAGGGGAAAUAAUGCUAGACCCCAAGAUAGGAGAAAUGUACCCCCUGAUCCCAUUGUAAAUCAAGAAAAAUCUAUAGAUGAUUUUAAUGAUGAUAUUGAUUUUGAUAGGAUAAGAAGAGAUAGGAGGGGACAAGGAGAAAGACUAGAAGAUGAUAAUAUAAGUAGUAUAAAGAUGAAGAUGCCAUUUUUCAAGAGAACAAGGGAUUCAAACUUGUACCUUGAUUGGGAGAAAAAGGUUGAAGCCACUUUGACUGCCACAACUAUUCUGAGGGUAAGAAGGUUAAACUUGAUGCUUUUGAGUUAUCUAACUAUGCAACAGUCUGGUGGAAGUUUUCUAAGGACAGAUUGCAAGAAGGACAAGCACUCAUUGCUACUUGGGCUGAGAUGAAGAGGGUAAUGAGGAAGAGAUUUGUGACAUCACACUUUCAAAGAGAUCUACAAUAACAUCUUCAAACUUUGAAUCAAAGGUCCAUGUCCGUGGAUGAAUAAUUUAAGGCUAUGGAUAUGGCUUUGAUACAAGCUAAUUGUAUGGAGGAAGAAGAGGCUACAAUGGCUAGGUUUUUAAUGGUUUAAAUAAGGAAAUAGCUGAUGUAGUAGAAUUACAACAAUAUAUAACUUUAGAUGAGUUAGUUGAAUUAGUUGGAAAGGUAGAAAGACAAAACAAAAGGAGACAGCAAUCAAGUUCACGGAGAAGCCGGCCAACUACCAUUCCAAAUAAGCAAUGGCCAAGAUCUGAGGAAACACCUACUCCUAAAUUCCAUGAAGACAAGGGCAGGAGUAAAUUGGAAUCCAAGGAGGGGGGUAAGCCUUUUAUGCCUAAAACUUCUAAUUCUACUUCUUAUACUCAAUGUCUCAAGUGUCAAGGGAGAGGGCAUAAGGCUUAUGAAUGCCCAAGUAGAAGAAACAUUCUAAUCAAAGAAGAUGGGGGAUAUGAGAGUGAAAAAAGUGAACCAAGUGAACCAAGUGAAGAACAAGAUGAAAAUUUUGUAGAGAGUGAAGAAGGAGAAGAGAUGGAGUACAUUGAUAGUGGGGUGAAUUUUGUGGUUAGGAGGAUUAUGCACAUUAAUUUGGGCCACUUUAAUGAAGAAUAAAGGGAAACAUAUUCCAUAUUCGGUGUGGGAUUAAAGACAAAAUUUGUUCUAUGAUAAUUGAUAAUGAGAGUUGUGAUAAUGUUGUGAGUGCAUAUUUGGUAGAAAAGUUAGGGUUGGAAUGAACGAAGCACCCUAGACCUUAUAGGUUGCAAUGGUUCAAUGAUAGUGGAUAGGUCAAGGUGAAUAAGCAAUGCAUGAUCUCCUUCAAGAUUGGAAGGUACGCUGACGAAUUUCUAUGUGAUAUAGUACCCAUGCAACCUUGUCAUAUCUUGUUGGGGCGUCCGUGGCAGUAUGAUAAGAGUGCUUUUCACGAUGGGAGGAAAAAUAGAUACUCUCUUGAGCAUAAUGGCAAGAAGUACAUUCUUGCACCUUUAACUCCUUACAAAGUGUAUGAAGAUCAAAAACAGAUGAAAGAAUCAAUGGGGAAACAUGGGGAGGGAUCAAAACGAGAGACUAAGGGGAAAGAAAAAGAGGGAAAAUAUGAAGUGAGGUGUGAGGAGAGAGAGGGCAGCAAUGAGAGAAAUUAAAAGGAGGGGAAGAGUGAAAAAAAAAAGAAAGCAUUGGUGAGAGGAAAGAGGCUAAGAUUGAAAAGAAAGUGAGCUUUGCAAAAGCCAAAGAGUGUUUAAUUGCAAAAAAAGAGGGGCUGCCUAUUAUCUUGCUCACUUAUAAAGAAGUUCUACUUAAUAAUGAUUCACUAACAUCCUCUUUGCCUAGUGUUAUUUCUAACCUUUUGCAGGAUUUUGAAGAUGUUUUUCCUGAGGAUCUUCCUAAAGGUUUUGUCACGCCCCAAACCUGGGGAGGCGUGGCUGGCACCCGGUGCCGUACUGGUCCGAGUGAACCACUUUGUAACUUCUUUUUAUUUUCUUUUGUAACUAUCAUGGGCCAACAUGGCCACAACUCGUAAUGUACAACUAUAAGUGAGCAAACACUAUAUCAAUGAACCAUCUUUCUUAAAACAUGAAUACAUAAGGGGCCGUCAAGGCCUCCGACAUACUAUACAAAAUAAACCUAUGUCUACAAAGACUCUAAGAUUAUUUAAUAUCAAAUGGGACAGGGUACCGGCCUACCCAUAUAUCAUAGCAUAACUCUAACACGAUGACUCAUAGACUCGGCUGAACUCCGAAUGAGGUGGAGUAUUACCGAUCCUUCGCUGAAUGCCAAUCUCGUACUAUGAGGGCUUGUCAAACUGAUUAUCUAUACCUGCAGGCAUGAAUGCAACAUCCCCAACAAAAGGACGUCAGUACGAAUAAUGUACCGAGUAUGUAAGGCGGAACUGAAACAUAACAAUAAAUCAACAUUAAUUAAAGACAUAUAAGAAUCAACCUGAAUCUAUAAAGUGCCAUCGUAUAUGCAUACUUAUUAUACUUAUAUAUAAUGCUUCUCUUUGAGACUUUUAUCCAUAUCGUAUGAUACAUGACUGCCCAACUGAUCAGUGGUAACUGCCCGACCGGCCGUAGCACGGUGGUAAAUGUAUGACUGCCCGACCGGCCGUAGCUCGGUGGUAAAUAUGUAACUGCCCAACCGGUCGUAGCACGAUGGUAAAUAAAUAUGCAUGACUGCCCAACUGGUGGUAAAUAAUGAUACAUAACUGCCCAACAGGUGGUAAAUACAUGAUGCAUAUAAUACCAUUAUGAACAUUAAUAUCUUUAUCAUAUACCUCAAUAAAGACAUCUAAGCAAGACUUUAAGAGUCAUUGUUUUGAAAUUGGGGGGGCAGCCACAUUAAGUCUCCUUAAACAUAUCCAAAUUUUCAUCCCUUCUCCUUAAUUAACUUAUUAAUCUCCCACUAAUCCAAUAAUUACCCAAUUAUCCACAUAAUGAGAAUUAUCCCAAAUUACUUAAAAUACUAUUCACUUUUAAUAUACCUCAUACACCUUACUAUCAUAGUCAUAUGGUACCAUAUAAAAUCAAUAUAUACACUAUUAUUUCAUUAAAACAUCCAUGUAAAAAUACAUAUAUUUUCUCAACUUCUAAUUUUCCUAAUCUCAUAUAAAGAUUACNNNNNNNNNNNNNNNNNNNCUUUACAAUAAAGAAAAUCUCAUAAACUUUCUCAUAUUCUGUGUAAAAUUUAAAGCAUAUUCGAAAGUAGAAAUAUUAAUAACUAUAUAAAAUCAUAUUUUUCAAACCUUGUUUUACAAAAAUGUUCCACUCAAAAUAUCAUAUCAAAUGUAUAUAACGGUAUCAAUGUUGUUAAACUUACGGGGUCUUAAAAUAACAUAGUCACAAAUCCUCUAUAACAUCAUGAAUGGUCUUAAUCCCUUCAAGCUCAUAUGGAUUACUAUGAUUGAUCCUAAUAUUAAAGUACGGGAUGUAAUAGGUUUACCACCUUUAAGAGGAAUAGAGCAUCAAAUUGAUUUUGUGCCGGGAUCAAAAAUUCCUAAUAGGCCUGCUUAUAGGAGCAAUACCGAAGAAACAAAAGAAUUGCAAAGACAAGUAGAGGAGCUGCUUGAUAAAGGAUUUGUAAGCGAAAGCAUGAGUCCCUGUUCUAUGCCCGUACUUUUGGUGCCAAAAAGGAUGGCAAUUGGAUGAUGUGCGUUGACUACCACGCCAUCAAUAAAAUAAGGGUAAAGUAUCGCCAUCUUGUUCCUCGUUUAGAUGAUAUGCUUGACCAAUUGCAUGGUUCUCAAAUAUUCUCUAAAAUUUAUUUGAAGAGUGGAUAUCACCAAAUUAGAAUUAAUCCUGGAGAUGAAUGGAAAACUGCCUUUAAAACUAAAUAUGGAUUGUAUGAAUGGUUAGUGAUGCCGUUUGAGUUAACUAAUGCACCUAGUACAUUCAUGAGGUUAAUGAACCAUACCUUUAAGGAUUUUCAUGAAAAAUUUAUAGUCGUUUAUUUUGAUGAUAUUCUGAUCUUUUCUAAGUCUUUAGAAGAGCAUGUCAAACAUUUGAAAUAAGUUUGCAGUGUGCUUAGGGAGCAACUAUUUUAUGCAAAUCUAUCCAAGUGCACUUUUUGUGUUAAUAAGGUAGUUUUCUUGGGUUUUGUUGUGAGUUAUAGAGGUAUUGAGGUAGAUGAAGAUAAAAUCAAAGAGAUUAAAGAUUGGCCUACACCUAAGAGCAUUACUGAAGUUAGAAGUUUUCAUGGACUUGCUAGAUUUUAUAGGAAAUUUGUUAGAGAUUAUAGUUCAAUUGUUGCACAUUUAACGGUAGUCAUUAAGAAGGAUAAGGUCUUUAAUUUGGGAAAAGAACAAGAGCAUGCAUUUAAUAUUUUGAAGGAUAAAUUGUGUUCUGCUCCUUUGUUACAAUUAGUUGAUUUUAAUAAGUCCUUUGAAAUUGAAUGUGAUGCAUCUGGUAGAGAUAUUGGGGCUGUUUUAAUGCAAGAUUCUAAACUAAUCGCUUAUUUUAGUGAGAAGUGGAAUAGGGCUGCAUUGAAUUAUUCUACUUAUGAUAAAGAAUUGUAUGCCUUUGUAAGGGCUCUUGCUACAUGGCAGCAUUAUUUGUGGCCAAAGCAGUUUGUGAUAAAACUGACAAUGAGUCUUUAAGAUAUUUGAAAAGCCAAGGUAAAUUGAGUAGAAGACAUGCCAAAUGGGUUGAAUUCAUUGAGACAUUUCCAUAUGUGAUUAGCUACAAGCAAGGCAAAGACAAUAUAGUUAUUGAUGCGCUUUCAAGAAGGUACGCUCUUGUUUCUACUUUUACUUCUAAAUUAAUGGGAUUUGAUCAUAUUAAGGAUUUAAAUGUUGAUGAUUCUGAUUUUGAUGUAGCAUUUUUAGCAUGUUUAAAUGGGCCUUUUGAGAAGUAUAAUCUUAAAGAUGGGUUUCUUUUUAAAGAGAAUAAGCUUUGUGUCCCUAAUUGUUCUUUGCGAGAAAUUUUGUGAGGGAAGCACAUUGUGGGGGGCUUAUGAGACACUUUGGUGUGCCUAAAACACUUGACAUCCUUGCUGAAAAUUUAUUUUGGCCUAAUAUGAGAAAAGAUGUAGAAAGAUUUUGUGCUCAAUGCGUUGAAUGCAAACAAGCUCAAUCUAAAGUGUUGCCACAUGGUUUAUACACGCCUUACCUGUGCUUAUUUCACCUUUGAUUGAUAUUUCGAUGGACUUUGUGUUAGGACUGCCUAGAACAAGGUAUGGUAAGGAUAACAUCUUUGUUGUGGUAGAUAGGUUCUCAAAAAUGCCUCGUUUUAUUCCCUUUUUAAAGACUAAUGAUGCUUCUCAUGUUGUUGAUUUAUUUGUUAGAGAAGUUGUUAAAUUGCAUGGUAUACCUCGAACUAUUGUUAGUGAUAGGGAUGCUAAGUUUCUAGGCCACUUUUGGCGUGUGCUUUGGGGAAAAUUGGGAACAAAAUUGUUGUUUUCUACUUCUUGUUAUCCACAAACUGAUGGGCAAACUGAGGUAGUAAAUAGAACCUUAUGAAGUAUGUUAAGGGCUGUUCUAAAAGAAAAAUUAACUUCUUGGGAGGAUCACUUGCGUAUGAUAGAAUUUGCUUACAAUCGAACUGUUCAUUCAUCUACUAGUUAUUCUCCUUUUGAAGUUGUUUAUGGCUUUAACCCCCUUAUACCCCUUGACUUAUUGCCUUUGCCUACUAAUGAGAUGGUUAGUCUUGAUGGAAAAAGGAAAGCUGAUUUGAUGAAUACUAUUCAUGAGCAUACGAGACUUGCAAUUGAGAGGAGGAAUGAGCAAAUAGCUUGAUGAAGAAAUAAAGGUCGAAAACUAGUUAUCUUCGAGCCUGGUGAUUUGGUUUGGGUUCAUAUGAGGAAAGAGAGAUUUCCUUCAAAAAGGAAGACAAAAUUGCACCCUAGAGGAGAUGGGACAUUUAAAGUACUUGAAAGGAUUGGAGAUAAUGCUUACAAAUUGGACCUUCCUGGUGAGUUUCAAGUAAGUGCUACUUUUAAUGUUGCUUACUUAUCCUUGUUUGAUGUAGGUUCAAAUUCGAGGACGAAUUCUUUUCAAGAAGAGGAGAAUGAUAGCUCCACGGACAAGGAUAAAGCUUUAGAAGCACCAAGAAAUCUAUUCACAAGGUCUCAAGCUAAGGAGAAGCAAGAGAAGGUUGUUGGGCUUCAAUGGGAGAUUAAGAAGCUGCUAAUGGUGGAAGAAGAGCUCAAGAAUUAUGGAGAGGAUUUAGCCAAGUGCUACACUCAUUUCAUGGUCCAAGUCCAAGUCCAAGAGGAGGUCGAUUGGGGUCCAAGCACCAGCCAAGGAGGGCCUAAAUUAGGUGCCUAAAUCAACCCACAAAGGAGCUAACUUGGCGCCCAAGUCAACGCAGGGGGGCCGGCCAAGAAAUAGGAGAAGGAUUCAAAGUUCCUUAUUUUGUUUCCUAAUUUGUUCGGACAUAUUUGAUGCUUUCCUAGGUAGUUAAGGUUUUAUUUUUUUUUUUCCUAAGAUUAUUGGAAUAACUUUCCAAGAUUGACUUGAUUUUUUUUUCCUAGAGUUUUACCUUUUCCUAUGGUAGUUGGACUUGUUGUCCAAAGUAGUUUAGAACUUUAUUUUCUUAUUUCUAGGUAGAAUUUCGUAGCCUCUCUCUAUAUAAAGGGGUAUCUUAUUUGUUUUUAGAGUUAGUUUAUUAUCAAUAAAAAUUGUGAGAUUUUUCUUGCACUGUUAUGUGUUGCUACUCUUAAAUUUAGUCUUCAACCUUCGAGACUCAACUUAAGGUGGUAAGAUUAAACUUUUCAGAAAUCUUAGAUCACUUCUAGGUAUUCAAGAAAUAUGAUAAGUUUAGGCUUAUUAUUAUUCUUGUUAUUCUAAAGGGUCAGGUUUCAUAAUCUAUCUCUUGUUUUUAAUUCUCUAUCAAAGGCGAUUAGUUCUUCGUUAGUUAAUUGUUGUUGUUAGGAUUCAACUUCAAGAAUAAACUUCUUGAAUUCAAGAUCUUUCUUGAAUUCAAUCUAUCUUUAAUUUCUAUCUUCAAUUUCAUUUUCCUAUUUUCUUUUAGCUUCCGCACGUUUCUUGAUUUUAUUGUUUUUUCUCUAGUACUUCUUAAAUCCCCUAUCGUGUUGUUAUCAUUGUAUCUGUUCAAAUACCUAUCUAAGUGAAUUCUGUGGAAGUUGAUGCUGUCACAACCCAAUUCCCACCAUAGACCAUGAUGGCGCAUAACGCUACUAUUAGGCAAGCCAACAAUUUAAUCAACACAAUAAUUGGUGGUUCAUAACACGUUUUAAAACAAUGGUGAAAUAAUUAAGCGAGAUUUGCUCUAUUUUAAUAUAAAAUACUAAUAUUAUCUUUAUAAUUAGAAUAUGAUCAAAAUGCAAUACUGAAUGACGUAACAGAAAUACAUCCAAGAUUAACAGACUAAAUUCCCAAAAUCUGGUGUCACAAGUGUAUGGGCAUCUACUAGAAUGUACAAUACUACUAUAAAAACUGCCUUGAAUAGAAAAUAGACAAAGUACAACAUAUGAUUAGGAAGGGGACUCCAUGUGCUGCGGAUCAUAGCAUAUACAACAGCUCACCAUAAAGUUUCAUCAGCAAUUGCGCCUACGCACCGGUAUGACCACCAAACUUACAUGUCUCAGUACCUAUACAAUUAGUGUUGAAGUGUAGUGUGAGUACGUAAAUCAACUUGUAGGUAAUAAGUAUCUAGCCUAACCUCAAAGAAGUAGCGAUGAGGGGUCGAUAUCGGCACUUACUAGUGGUCCAAUAAUCAAAUACAAUAAACACAGACAGGUAUGAAGAAUAGCCAGUAAAAGCAACGAAAAUAGGUAUAUGUGCAUAACACGAUCCUCAAUAGAAAAGUGGAUACAAAAUCCUCAAAUAUCGAAUACUACCUCGAAUGGGGCAAGUAUAUGAUCAAUAACAAAUAAAAUACCAAAUCGUAAGUCAGGAAGACUCAUAGGUACGUUGAACCUCGAUCGAAUAUAACACACGAUUCUGUCGAGGUCGUUUGGCUCGAUCCAUAAAAUAGUGUACACUGUCGAGGUCAUACGACCCAAUCCAUGGAUGCAUCUCAUAAUACUGACGAGGUCGUAUGACCCGAUCCAUAAUAGUAUUGAUGAGGCAUUCAGCCCGAUCCCAUAGAAUAGUGAGACUUUGACAUGUCACUUGCCCAACUCACGAAUAUGUGUGAGUUAUGAAAUUCCAGAAACUUUCAGAUAUAUAUUCACAAUGCGGGUGAAAUCUGUAAGAAAAGGUAAAAUAUCUGUGGCUAAUCAAGUAGCAAGUCAAGUAUCUGAAAUAGCAAAGUUCAAUACCUUACGCAAAUCUAGUCUCGGGUUAAAGCAUAAAUUAAAGUAUUUAAAUAGACAAGAAUAACUCAAGUAGUACAAUUAAAACAUGGUGUGAGUCUACGUCUACCCGGACAUAAUCAAGAAUCUAGCAUACACACGGACACUCAUCACCUCAUAAGUGCAUAGCUCCCAUAACAUGUUGCACAUAACAAAUACAACACCUGCAGGGUAAAUACCCUCUUACAAGGUUAGACAAGAGACUUACCUCGCUCUAAAGUCCGAUAACUGGCUCCAACGCCUCUCUAACACCUCUACCCGAUGCCAAACUAUCCGAAACUAGCCAAAAACGUGCAAACCAAUCAAAAUAUACUCAAAGACUCAUAAUUAAACAAUUAGAAAUAAAUUCCCAACUCCACACGAGAAGUCAACAAAGUCAACGCCGAGCUCAAGCGCCCGGAUUCCAAAAGUUAUCAAAAUUAAAUAUUACUCAUAACUUAUAUAGUAUAUCCAGAAAAUCAUCCAAUUUCAUCCAUGAAUUUACCCUCAAAUCAAGGAUUUACUAUUUCUCAAUUUUGGGGCUCAAAACCCCAAUUUUUACAAUCCAAACAGAGAUGAAAAUAAUAACCAUCAGAAAUAAUCACGGAAAAACAUCAAAAUAAAGGUUAGAUAUUUACCCUCUUGUUGAUGCGAGAACAACGUCGUGAAAAUCACCUCAAGCGUAGCUCUAGAACUCAAGAUAUGCCUAAAAUACUAAGAUGCUCGGUUUGCCAAUUUAAAACACUGCCCAGGUAAUUUUUGUUCAUCGCCUUCACGGGACGCCAUCACGUUCGCAAAGAGAAAUUUUUCGCAUUCACGGGUCAACCCAAAAUUCCUUUUUCGCGUUCGCGGGACCUCCCUAUCGUUCGCGAAGAACAAAAGUUCACACCAUAAAUCAGCAAUCUUUCCCGGCACGAAAUGGGCAUAACUCUCUCAUACGACCUCAGAAUUCGACGAUUCUUGUUGCUAUAGUUUCGUAAUUACGAUACAGAUCUAAUGGUUCAAUCGAAUAACAAAUAAAAGGUGAUUUCUCAAUAUGAUACCCUUUGUGCCAAAAGAAACGACGCUGAAACAUCAAAUAAGAGUGUGACACAAUCCAAACUCAUCCGAAACUCAUCCGAAUCUAACCAAAACUUGCGGACAAGUCAAAAAUAUUUAUACAAACCUAUUGAAAUUUUUAAUUCAGGAAUCCGAGCUCAUUAAGUCUACUAUUUGACCGUGGUCAACUCAUUUUCUUAAACUUAACUAGUAUGCAACUUAAGUGUUCGUUCACUCUUAAACAUUUCGAAUCACGACCAAACUUCACACACAAGUCCCAAUCAACUAAAUGAACAUAUUAAAGGUCCUGGAACACCACCUGGAGUCCGAUAACACCGAAGUCCACUCCAAGUCAAACUUGGCAAAUUCAAAAACUUUCAAAAAUGUAAUCUUCUGAAAAUAAGCGUCAAAUCGCUCCCGGACCACCCAAUAUUCAGCCCGAACAUACUCCCUAGUCCGGAAUCACCUUACGAACCUGUAGGAACCUUCAAAUUCCACUUCCGAGGUCAUUUACUCAAAAGUCAAACCUAGAUCAACUCUUCUAACUUAAGCUUUCGAAUUGAGAAUUAUUCUUCCAAAGCAACUCUGAACUUCCUGAAAUCAAAACUGACUACACGUGCAAGUCAUAAUGCCGAUAGUGAAGCUACUCAAAGUCAUAAACCGCCGAACGACAUGCUAAAGUUCAAUAAGACUUGCCGGGUCGUUACAUCCCCCCCCCCCCCCACUUAAAUAUAUGUUCAUCCAUGAACAUGCCAAGAGUAACUCAUCAUGCAAAAUACCCAUGCCAUCUCAAUCCAUAUAAGCACAUUAGCACAACCCCUACUGAAGAUCCUUCCUGCGACCUUAUCCCACAAGUCUUAGAACCAUGUUCCAACAUCCUGAAUUUCCUAUAAGGUCUGAUUCUAUCAUAGAUACAUUGUAACAAUCUCAACAAGCUGUACCAAAACAUAAUCAUACACCCAAGUUGUAACCAUACAAUGCACCGCAUAAUUCAUAUCCAAUAGUAAUAUCUUCCAACCACAAUAGCUGAAAUUUCUGAACCCGGUGCCGGUAAUAUACCUCAUGACACAUAAAAAUCUUGUUCCAAACCGCACAAUACUGCAACAAUGAAAGAGAUGUGCAGAAUCUCAUAACCAUCCGUCAAAUCAAUAAAUCAUGGGGUUCUUCCGUUCGAUAAGAACCAUUGCCGCAUUCUGAACUGAUUAGCGAUAUUCUCCUUCCAGGUCCAACAACCUCAUCUCACCCAAUACAAGUUGCUCGGCCGACAAGCCACAUCAGAAACCAUCUAAAAUCUUAUACAAUAUGACCCGAGCAUCAAACAAGAUACAACUCGAAUAUGACCAAUAAGGAAAGGAGCCCCAAGUAUAGGAACUAACCCGCAUACAUAGCAGAUAUAACAAUGAAACAAAAUGCUAUGAAUCUAUCCCACGGAUGAGAAACAAAACACACAAAAUAAGUAUAAGGAACCGUACCCAACAUCUCACCGUUUCCGCAUAUAACUCGUUCCACACAUGAUACCAUUGCGGCGUGCAACCCGAUCCAAAUGCAUACAAUAUGCAUGGGAAUACCCAUCGAGCCAAAUUCUCAUACUCACUAGACAUACGUACAUCAACCAUAUGUGCAUAAACAUAAUUCUGGGGAGAGGAAUAGCAUCAUGCGCUACAAAAUGCCAAGCACGACCAAGGUGCAAUAAACAAACAAGCAUCUCGAGAGCCAUCUCGCUCAUAUAACACCAUAGAGCCUACAUAGGACCACAACACGCAUGUGAAUAAUCAAUCCACAUAGCAUAAAGAGUAACACAUAAAAUAGAUGAUGACAAGAAUAGCAUCCACCAUGCCUGGAGACUCAUCCAUAGACAAAUGCUGGGCUGAAAUAACAUAUCCAAUCUGGUGUAGAAUAUACAUUCGCGUUAGGCCCGCCAAUGGUCCUCUAAACCUAUUCUGAACAUCUCAACAUAGGUAAAUAGACUUCUAAAGAUCAACAAUGACCAUAUCCAUGACACCCACAAUCUACCGUCAAACCCUGAACAAACUUUCACAGUCUGCAACCAAAGGAAUAUGGCGUCUCUCCAAUUUGCGACAAUGCUAUAAUUGUCAUACAUGAUCUCAAUCUCCCACUUAAAUGACUGACACGUCACAUCUACACAAUCAUCCCAUGAGAGAUACUUCCACAACCUUCCACACCAAGUAAAUCAAUCACUACACCCAUGGCUACCGACCAUGCUAUUUCUGUAGUGCUAAUCAAGAAUCCGCAAACCGAUAAAAUGCCCCUUCCACAGAACACACAAUUCUUAGGCGACACUAAUAUAGCACCAGUAUACUCGGAACAUUCAAAAUCUCCCCCGCUCCUUUGAACUCGUGACAUCCCUGUCAAAACUGAACCAUAACCUUGGCCCCCUCAAGUCCCAAUUCAACACAACUCGUCGCAUCCACUAUGCUAUCGUAUGGAGAUACGAGAUUCUCGUUAUAAAUUUUGAAUCACAAGUAGAAUGAGCACUCCAUCAUUUUGAAACUUUUCACUUAACUCAUCUCUGGAGAAAAAUUGUAACACACAACCAACUUCCCAUAACCAAAGAAGAAACAAAUCUCAAGUCGUGGUCGAACCGUCAUAAACUCUUUGGGUCCCAUCUGCACAUAACUGAGCCAUCAAAACCGAGUCUUCUACAUCAACUGAAACAUGCAGACUGACAAAUCGAUAAGUUAUUACCAUAACACUUGAGUAGCCUUAACAUAUAGAAGGAACCGAUCAUUUCCCCUAUCAUGCUGAUCCAACCCACUACUAAACGGACCCAACUCCUCAGUUUUCUUUGACUUACCUUCAAAAUAAUACCUCUCUUUUCUAGCACAGAAUGGACCUCAAUUGACACUCAUCCCGAGUGACCCCAAAUCACCAGACCACGUCAUCUCAAUACCCAUAAGCUAUUUUAUAUCCUCUCAUACACUCAACCAUUCUGAGGAGACUUUCUGGUAAUCCAAAGUUAUUUUUUCUAUCUCUGUAACACCACAUCGCACACCCGACGACAACAUAGAAAUACUCUAAGUCUCUUUCACAAUCCGCUGCAAUACUCAAUUCUUAGCCACGUAACGAACACGAAAAUUCUUAGGCACCCACUUUAAAUCUUGAACCCACUAGAAUCAUUGUUGAGAGUCGCCCACCAUAAGCUAGUCCUAAAUACAUAGUCAAACUACCAGUUUUCGUUAGCACACAAAUACUCCAAAAGAAGCAAUCGAAUGAAUCCAUUCCCUUACACAUCACAUUCACAAAGAAGAAUCAAGUUUGAGUCAUUCCACAAUCUUUACAUAAAUUGAUAAAGCGAAAUGUAGCACACAUCCAUCAAAUUCCUUGCUCGAAUUACCCCCGAUGUCCUUCUCUUCAAGUUAUAACCAAUCCACCAAUAGGGGUGGACGUUCAGGCAAUUCGGAAUGGAUAUGAAAACUUUGGUUUGGAUUUUCAGUUUUCGGAUUGAAGAAAUGACAAUCCAAAUCCAAUCAAGAUAAACUCAAAUUGGAUCGAAUUUUUUAAGUUUUGAUUUGGAUUAACCGCUUUGAAUAUUUCUGAUUUUUGAUUUUAAACUUAUAAGUUGAGAUGUUUCUUCUUACGAUAAUGAACAUCCAAAUAAGGUAUUCAUGUUAAAUUAUUUAAAAAGUUCCUCAUUUCAUCGCAAUUAUCCAAAUAAAGUAUUCAAGUAAUAAAAUCAUCAUCAAGGAAAUACAACAAAGACAUAAGUAAGGCCAACAAGAAGUAGCAAUAGUAAAAUCAUGUCCAAAUAAAAAGUAUUCUAAUAGUAACUUACCAUAUUGAAUAUAUGAGAUUAUGUCUAAUGGUUAUGAUAUUGUACUUGUUACUACUGGCAUAUGAAUAAUGGACUAAAUAUAAAAUAUAAAAAAUUUGAAUUUUCGGAUAUCCAAAAAUCUAAAGUACCAAAUCUAAUUUCCAAUUCGAAUUCCAAAAAUUUUAAAAUUAAAUCCGAAAUACAAUCCAUAAUCCGAAAAUCAAUACAAAAAAUCCAAACAAUUCAGAUUUCGAUUUAGAUUUCGGGUUUGCCCAAACGAUGCCCACCCAUAUCCACCAAUGUACUGAAAUCCAGAAUUUGCAAAGACACAUGACCACGUGCCCCAAUAACCGACGGCAGGCUCCCCUACUUGGAUAUAAGCCACAAUCAUAUAACCCAAGAACCCACAAUGACUGUAGUCAACUCAUAUUCUUAAACUUAGCUAGUAUGAAACAUAAGUGUCUGAGUCACUCUUAAACAUUCUGGAUCAUGACCAGAUUUCACACACAAGCCCCAAUCAACUAAAUGAACCUAUCCAAGGUCCCGGAACACCACCCAGAGUCCGAUAACACCGAAGUCUACUCCAAGUCAAACUUAGCAAAUUCAAAUACAUAUAAAAUGCAACUUCCGACAAUAAGCGCCAAAUCGCUCCCGGACCACCCAAUACUCAACCCGAACAUACGCCCUACUCCGAAAUCACCUUACAAACCUAUAGGGACUUUCAAAUUCCGAUUCCGAUGUCGUUUACUCAAAAGUCAAAAUCCGGGUCAACUCUUCUAACUUAAAGCUUCCGAAAUUAAGAAUUAUUUUUCCAAAUCAACUGUGAACUUCUCGAAAUCAAACUGACUACAUGUGCAAGUCAUAAUACAUAUAGUGAAGCUACUCAAAGUCUCAAACCGCUAAAUAAUAUGCUAAAGCCCAAAAUGACUGAUCGGGUCGUUAUACAUGCCUUGACUUUUAUAACUGAAAAGCAUGUCUAGUUUCCCUUCGAUUGUGUUAAGCUGGACUUGUUACUAUUUGAGUUGCUUUUCUUUAUAUGCUAUUAUUUUGUUGUUAUUGAUAUUUUUGGCUGUGGAAAUAGAGCAUCGGACCUUUCCAAGAUCGUCGUUGCUUUCAACCCGAGGUUAGGCUUGCUACUUAUUGAGUACAUGGGGUCGAUUGACUCAUACUACACUCUGCACUUCAUGUACAGAUCUAGGUGUUGCUGAUAGUGGCGGUUGCCCGUGAGUCGAAUCCGAACUAGCUUGGAGAUUUUGAGGUAGCACUGUUGUUCCGCUCACAGAUCUUGAAGUCCCCUCUUUUAUCGUAUGUUCUUACUAUUCAGUCUUCCGGACAGUAUUGUAUUUUCUUUAGACUUAGUAUUUAGGAUUCUAUAGGGCUCAUGCACUCGGUGACAUUAGAGUUUGGGGUGGAUUCAUUUGUAUUGACAUUUUAACAUGAAUUAUUUAUACCAUUGCACUUUUGAGACUAUUACUUAUCAUUAUUGAAGUCUAUUUCUGCAUAUUUGUUGUAGUCUUGCCUAGCAAGCGGUGUUAGGCGUCAUCUCGUGAAACCUAAGUCUAGUUAAGGAGGUAAUUCAAGAAUAAGAUGUAUAGAAAACGAUUUUAUCAUUACAAACUACUUAGUUGCAUUAGAGGGGAGGGGACCUAAGUUUUUAAUCCUAAUGGACCAACUCCCAUGCAAAGUCUGCUAAGACUUUUAUAGCCAAAGUGCAAUUGCUAUUUGGGCAAUUUGUGUAUAAUCUCCACCUACCUUCAUUGUUGUCUUUAAGUUGUUAAACUAGCGGCACACUAGUUAAUUCUAAAUCGCGUCUUAGAAUAGCUACUCGUCCCUUCCUAUAGUCCAAGAGGCUUUGAACACUAUUCUAAAGGGAUGAUUCUAGACUUAAAUAAAAUCUUAGAUUUCUAUUUUUAUUCUUAUCAGUAUCACAUAAGAAAACAUGUUGGAAUUGAGCAAAUAAUACACAAGCAAAUACAAGGGCUCAAAUUGGCCUCUCAAGUAGACUCUUCAUAUGAGGGGGCAUAUUGAUCAUAUGCACAGACUAUUACUAGGCAUGGUGAAGUCUUAUUUUUACCUUAUAAGCAUGAUAUCUAGGUGAAUGAGUCAUAGGAAGUGUCGAAAGACUUGACAUUUUUGAAUUAAUUAAUCGAAACCUAUGAACAUUAUAUCUAAGUGACUGAGUUAGGCAUUUAUUUGCAUUAAAUAAAAAGAACUAAGCAGAUUAAUACGGAAGCAAUUGAGUAUCACAAGUUGAUUUACUGUAUCCUAUGGUGUCUAGUUGACCAGGAAUUAUUAGAAUUAUGUUAGACCUAUAGGCAUGUUUUCUAGGCAUGUGAGAUAAAAUCAAUAAGGACAACUUAAUUUAGCAUAUAUAGGUUCAAUGGCAUGCUUCUCGCGACGAGCAGAUUCACAAAGACAAUCAAAUAUUCCAAGUGAGAUAGUGCCCCUAUAGACAUGAUAUCUAGACGGUCGAGUUAAGUUGUUAAAUCCUAUGAACUAGAUGUCAAAGUGACAAGUAUAAUCAACACAAGUUGAAUCCUCCAAGGUGUAUGUGCGUGUACGCGAUCGAAUACGAGAAAACAGAUUUAGCAUAUAAACUAUUUGACUUUCGGUAUAAACAUAGGCAUGAUUUCUAAUAACAAGUAGCAUAUAAAAAAUUAAGACCUAUGAGCUGGUUUUCUACCCGAAAAUGCAUAUAAAUAAACCCCCCAAGCCCGUUUCACUAUAUCCCCAUAGUUGUUUUGUAGUAGGAUAUUACAGCCCAAAUAAGAGAAAGAAAUAAUUACAAGCCUGAAUGAAUUAAGAUACAAAAACAAAUAGCCAUGAACCUAGAUGACCAUUGGGCCUUCAAAAUCCUCUUUCGUUAUGUCCAUAAGCCUAGAAGCCAGCAGCAAUAGAAAAUAGCCAAAACAACCAACUCCAGAUCCAACUUAGACCAAAAUUCUUUCACCUUGACUCAUACCAAUAUAUUAAUGGCUAAACAUGAGUGUGACUCCCUAUAGACAGGUUCUCUAAGACACACAGGUCAUAGGCCAAUUUGUAGAUACAAAGUUCAGCGGAAAAUACACCAAAGGUUCCUAUAGACAGGAUUUUUACCUUUAAAAAAAUUCUUUGGUUCUUAGUUCAUAAUGGUCAAUUUACAUAGAGCUCUUUUAGGUCCAACAAAAAUGAACAUAGGGCCCAUAAGGACAUGCAUUCUACCAAGUGAAAAAUUACUCAAACAAAGUCGAAUAGCACAAGUAGACAUAGAAGAAGCUUNNNNNNNNNNNNNNNNNNNNNNNNNNNNNNNNNNNNNNNNNNNNNNNNNNNNNNNNNNNNNNNNNNNNNNNNNNNNNNNNNNNNNNNNNNNNNNNNNNNNNNNNNNNNNNNNNNNNNNNNNNNNNNNNNNNNNNNNNNNNNNNNNNNNNNNNNNNNNNNNNNNNNNNNNNNNNNNNNNNNNNNNNNNNNNNNNNNNNNNNNNNNNNNNNNNNNNNNNNNNNNNNNNNNNNNNNNNNNNNNNNNNNNNNNNNNNNNNNNNNNNNNNNNNNNNNNNNNNNNNNNNNNNNNNNNNNNNNNNNNNNNNNNNNNNNNNNNNNNNNNNNNNNNNNNNNNNNNNNNNNNNNNNNNNNNNNNNNNNNNNNNNNNNNNNNNNNNNNNNNNNNNNNNNNNNNNNNNNNNNNNNNNNNNNNNNNNNNNNNNNNNNNNNNNNNNNNNNNNNNNNNNNNNNNNNNNNNNNNNNNNNNNNNNNNNNNNNNNNNNNNNNNNNNNNNNNNNNNNNNNNNNNNNNNNNNNNNNNNNNNNNNNNNNNNNNNNNNNNNNNNNNNNNNNNNNNNNNNNNNNNNNNNNNNNNNNNNNNNNNNNNNNNNNNNNNNNNNNNNNNNNNNNNNNNNNNNNNNNNNNNNNNNNNNNNNNNNNNNNNNNNNNNNNNNNNNNNNNNNNNNNNNNNNNNNNNNNNNNNNNNNNNNNNNNNNNNNNNNNNNNNNNNNNNNNNNNNNNNNNNNNNNNNNNNNNNNNNNNNNNNNNNNNNNNNNNNNNNNNNNNNNNNNNNNNNNNNNNNNNNNNNNNNNNNNNNNNNNNNNNNNNNNNNNNNNNNNNNNNNNNNNNNNNNNNNNNNNNNNNNNNNNNNNNNNNNNNNNNNNNNNNNNNNNNNNNNNNNNNNNNNNNNNNNNNNNNNNNNNNNNNNNNNNNNNNNNNNNNNNNNNNNNNNNNNNNNNNNNNNNNNNNNNNNNNNNNNNNNNNNNNNNNNNNNNNNNNNNNNNNNNNNNNNNNNNNNNNNNNNNNNNNNNNNNNNNNNNNNNNNNNNNNNNNNNNNNNNNNNNNNNNNNNNNNNNNNNNNNNNNNNNNNNNNNNNNNNNNNNNNNNNNNNNNNNNNNNNNNNNNNNNNNNNNNNNNNNNNNNNNNNNNNNNNNNNNNNNNNNNNNNNNNNNNNNNNNNNNNNNNNNNNNNNNNNNNNNNNNNNNNNNNNNNNNNNNNNNNNACAAUAAUUCAGCAAUAAGCAGCGGAGCAAGUUUCGACCAGUGAAUCCCAAGUCCUGGCAAGUUAGAGUUCUGGAGGCCUUUACAAACCUGAGCAAUGCUUAUGCUACAGAGAUGACCGAGUAUAACGAAGAGUUUGCCUUGGCUUUCAGCUGAUAAACAAGAGCAAUCAAGAGAAAGAUGAUAUAAAAAUCGUUGAAUAAUUUCUAUGAUUGUGAGUGAGAAGUGAUGAACGACUGAAGAGCGUGUGGCAAAGAUGAUAAGGAAUCAGUGAUUGGUGCAAGAAAGGAAAGGAAAGAUUGAAAGAUUCCAUGCCGGAUAGGAUUUGAGCGAAAAGGGGCUAGGGUUUCGACUGGUAAAGUGAGAGAAGGUGAGGACAACUUAUCUUAAUCUUAAAAAUAGGAGUUAGGAUUUAGAGGAGGAAUUCUUAUAUGGAUGGGUGAGAUAUAAGAGUCGUAGGAUUAAAAUGAUUAAUGGAUGAGAUUAACAGCUUGUUUGGAUUGUUG